GCCGGGCGUGGUGGUGUGUGCCUGUAAUCCCAGCUACAUGGGAGGCUGAGGCAGGAGAAUCGCUUGAACCCAGGAGGUGGAUGUUGCAGUGAGCUGAGAUUGCACCACUGCACUCCAGCCUGGGUGACAAAGCGAAACUCCGUCUCCA
Pongo abelii (Sumatran orangutan) is the source of this 148-nucleotide unclassified non-coding RNA. It matches the Rfam family "Metazoan signal recognition particle RNA". Rfam says of the family: The signal recognition particle (SRP) is a universally conserved ribonucleoprotein. It is involved in the co-translational targeting of proteins to membranes. The eukaryotic SRP consists of a 300-nucleotide 7S RNA and six proteins: SRPs 72, 68, 54, 19, 14, and 9. NCBI's taxonomy places the organism in Eukaryota, Metazoa, Chordata, Mammalia, Primates, Hominidae. The record is from Ensembl.